RNAcentral lists this ribosomal RNA (118 nucleotides) under Lepisosteus oculatus (spotted gar). The record is from RNAcentral. Lineage: Eukaryota; Metazoa; Chordata; Actinopteri; Semionotiformes; Lepisosteidae.
GCCAGCAGCCAUAUCACCCUGCAACUCACAGCUGGCAGCCCACUGAAGCUCAGCAGGUGUGAGCCUGGUCAGUACCUGAAUGGGAGACUCAUGGGAAAAACUAAGGUUGCUGCUGGAA